GGUAUGUAUCUUGAAAUUAUCAAAUGCAAAUGUCAUCAUCAUGAGAACAGAUUCUUUGCCAAGCCCUUUACCACGACUUUUCAGUUCAGCUAUCAUAAUCUCGACUUCAGCCAUCUGUGGAUCAUCCAAGUCAUUCAUGUAUAUGUUCACAUCACCAACCAUGGCUUCAACAUGAGGUUCUCCAUGAAUGAAGUUUUCAACAAUUAGUUCCCUGUCCAACACGAUGAAAGUCUGCUUUAAGGGGUCUUGGGUCCAAGAAAGUUGCAUUUCAUAUUCUUGCUCAAGGGUAAGUGGUUCAGAACCAGUUGCUUGAAGGAGAAGAGGAUCUUGCAUCCAUUCAUGGUACUUCGGCACAUGCUCUCUCAUGUAGGGUACCAGUAUCACCUUCUCCCCUUCCA
RNAcentral lists this unclassified non-coding RNA (398 nucleotides) under Hevea brasiliensis (rubber tree). The record is from RNAcentral. Lineage: Eukaryota; Viridiplantae; Streptophyta; Magnoliopsida; Malpighiales; Euphorbiaceae.